GUUCUAACCCCGGGGUCUUCACUAAGAAGUGCUGGAAAUAGGAGGGGGAAAUUCCUGUGAAACUGUGCGAUCCCUUCCUCCAAGGGGCCUCCUUCACAGCUGUCCUGCCGGCGUCGCCAGCUGCCCAGCCAGUUCCUGUCCCUUUCGGAGCCCGCGCUCACCCCGCCUGACGCUCCUAGAGUCUGUCCUUCUGCCGGGUCCCAGGCCCACCGCUGGAGGAAUGGAGUUCUCGGAGCUGAUCCGUACGGGCCAGGCCCAAGCCGAGCUCCUGCGGGGCCCGGAGAUGCCCCCGCUGCGCGGCACGCUUUGCGUCACCGGCCACCACCUGCUGCUGUCGCCAGGACCCCAGGCGACUCCAGACCUGUGGCUGCUGCUGUUGCGUAGUGUCGACUCCAUCGAGAAGCGGGUCGCGGGUGACGCCGGCACCAUCACGCUGCGCUGUAAGGACCUGCGAGUGCUGCAGCUGGACAUAGAGGGCGUGGAAGCGACGCUGGACAUCGCCCGCUCCAUUGAGGCGCUGUCCUCCCUGGAAUCGGUCAUCACCUCCUUUCCGUUCUUCUACCGUCCCAAGGGUUUGAGAUUGGGCGAAGCCUGGCACUUCCACCCACCAGAACGCUACUACAAGCGAAUAGCUCGCGAGACCAGAGCGUGGCGGCUGAGCGAGGCGAACGAGGACUUCAGCUUGUGCCCCAGUUACCCCCGCGCGGUAAUCGUGCCUCGCGCCGUGGACGACGAUGCCCUGGCGCGCAGCGCCCGCUUCCGCCAGGGAGGCCGCUUCCCUGUGCUCAGCUACUACCACGCUCCCCGCGGAACCGUGCUCCUACGUUCCAGCCAGCCCCUGACCGGGCCCCAGAAGCUGCGUUGCGCUGAGGACGAGGAGCUGCUGCGAGCUGUGCUGGCGGAGGCUCGCCCGGGGGCCCGGGGCUUCAUCGUGGACACGCGCUCGGCCCAGGCCGCCAAACAGGCCCGCAUGACUGGCGGCGGCACCGAGGCCAAGGCCGCCUACCCGGGCUGGAAACGGCUGCACCGGCCCCUGGAGAGGGGGCGGCCCUUACAGGAGAGCUUCGUGCGCCUGAUGGAAGCCUGUGGGGACCCGGAGCAGAGCAUGGACCGCUGGCUUAGUCGACUAGAUGGCUGCCGCUGGCUGUCACAUGUGAAGGAGGCACUAAGCACAGCCUGCCUAGCAGCCCAGGGCAUGGAGUGGGAAGGGGCCUGCAUCCUGGUGCAUGGGGCCGAAGGCACGGACAGCACCCUGCUAGUGACUUCACUGGCCCAACUCAUCCUAGACCCCUUGAGCCGAACCAUGGCUGGAUUCCAGGAACUGAUAGAGCGAGAGUGGAUCCAGGCCGGCCACCCCUUCCAGCUGCGCUGUGCUCACUCGGCCUUCUCCCACACCCGCCCCAAGCACGAGGCACCCAUCUUUCUCCUCUUCCUGGAUUGCGUGUGGCAGCUGGGCCGCCAGUUCCCGCUGUCGCUGGAGUUUGGGGAGGGGAUGCUGUUGGCGCUGUUUGAUCACUCCUAUGCCUCCCCUUUCGGCACCUUCCUCUGCAACAGUGAAAAGGAGAGAUGCCUGUGUGAAGUGAGAACUCGAACACACUCCUUGUGGUCUGGGCUCAAUCAGCCAAAAGAGCAACGAAAACUCCGGAACCCGCUCUACGUCCCCAAUCCCUUGGCCAUCUGGCCCUCUGUGGAGCCCCAGAGCCUGCGACUGUGGCAAGGCCUGUUUCUGCGCUGGACCCAUCCACCUGAGCCUUCAGAGGUAGCAUGGGAGAAGGUGUGGCAAAUAGCAACAGAUCAGAAGACAGAAGGCUCUCAGCCAACAGAUUCAGCCUCUGAGCCCCAACCCUAAGUACUGGUCCUUGGAUGGUGGUUGAGAUGUUCCUGAAACUUCUCCAGGCCCCUCAGCACCUUUGGACCUUGAAUGACGGUGCCUGCAACCCAGCCUAGCCCAUAAUACUGAAGUUCCAGGUUUGAAGUGUCCAAAGUGUAGGGAGAAGGUCCAAAUAAUAAAGUACGCGGGCCUCUCACUGUCGUUGGCCUCUCCCGCUGCGGAGCACAGGCUCCGGAUGCGCAGUCUCAGCAGCGCUCCGCGCGGCAUGUAGAAUCUUCCCGGACCGGGGCACGAACCCGUGUCCCCUGCAUCGGCAGGCGGACUCUCAACCACUGCGCCACCAGGGAAGCCCAAGUCAUUUAUUUAAUCUGCACAGUUUUAUGAGGUAAGUAUAUUAUCAUUGUCUUCAUUAUACAGUCAAGGGUAAUUGGGCACAGAGAACUACAGUGAUGUGUAGAGCUUCAGAGCGAGCCCAAGAGUUCAUGCUCUUAACUGCUAUAUUAUACACUUGUCACAGAAGGGCCACAAAUCUGGCUGCACUUCCUAGCAGCCAAUGAAUUAAGGAAAGUCUCUUUAGUUUUAUGAUUUGUGUCCAUCAUGAAAGACAUUUCAUGAAGUUUCAGUUUGGAAGAGCUCCUUCCCCCUUUACCU
RNA transcript from Orcinus orca (killer whale), 2482 nucleotides. It is a transcript of the gene named myotubularin-related protein 9-like, with no coding region annotated. Lineage: Eukaryota; Metazoa; Chordata; Mammalia; Artiodactyla; Delphinidae. The transcript is spliced from 11 exons. The record is from RefSeq and is a predicted model, not a curated record.